UACAGAGGUCCCAAGCGUUGUUCGGAUUCACUGGGCGUAAAGGGUGCGUAGGCGGUCGGGUAAGUCGGGUGUGAAAUUUCGGAGCUUAACUCCGAAACUGCAUUCGAUACUGCGGUGCUUGAGGACUGGAGAGGAGACUGGAAUUCAUGGUGUAGCAGUGAAAUGCGUAGAGAUCAUGAGGAAGACCAGUGGCGAAGGCGGGUCUCUGGACAGUUCCUGACACUGAGACACGAAGGCCAGGGGAGCAAACGGG
This 253-nucleotide ribosomal RNA is filed under the name uncultured bacterium. Its description in RNAcentral is "partial 16S ribosomal RNA". It matches the Rfam family "Bacterial small subunit ribosomal RNA", at positions 524 to 776 of the family's 1533-position model. The record is from RNAcentral.